Molecule: ribosomal RNA, 433 nt
Filed under: uncultured bacterium
Lineage: Bacteria
Description: partial 16S ribosomal RNA
Rfam family: Bacterial small subunit ribosomal RNA
Source: RNAcentral
AACGAACGCUGGCGGCAUGCCGAACACAUGCAAGUCGAACGAGACCUUCGGGUCUAGUGGCGCACGGGUGCGUAACGCGUGGGAACCUGCCCUUAGGUUCGGAAUAACUCCCCGAAAGGGGUGCUAAUACCGGAUAAUGUCUUCGGACCAAAGAUUUAUCGCCUUUGGAUGGGCCCGCGUUGGAUUAGCUAGUUGGUAGGGUAAAAGCCUACCAAGGCGACGAUCCAUAGCUGGUCUGAGAGGAUGAUCAGCCACACUGGGACUGAGACACGGCCCAGACUCCUACGGGAGGCAGCAGUGGGGAAUAUUGGACAAUGGGCGAAAGCCUGAUCCAGCAAUGCCGCGUGAGUGAUGAAGGCCUUAGGGUUGUAAAGCUCUUUUACCCGGGAUGAUAAUGACAGUACCGGGAGAAUAAGCUCCGGCUAACUCCGUG